GAAUUCACUAGUGAUGGAUCNCAGGCCUAACACAUGCAAGUCGAACGAGAUCUUCGGAUCUAGUGGCGCACGGGUGCGUAACGCGUGGGAAUCUGCCCUUGGGUUCGGAAUAACAGUUAGAAAUGACUGCUAAUACCGGAUGAAGUCUACGGACCAAAGAUUUAUCGCCCAGGGAUGAGCCCGCGUAGGAUUAGCUAGUUGGUGGGGUAAAGGCCUACCAAGGCGACGAUCCUUAGCUGGUCUGAGAGGAUGAUCAGCCACACUGGGACUGAGACACGGCCCAGACUCCUACGGGAGGCAGCAGUGGGGAAUAUUGGACAAUGGGGGCAACCCUGAUCCAGCAAUGCCGCGUGAGUGAUGAAGGCCUUCGGGUCGUAAAGCUCUUUUACCCGGGAUGAUAAUGACAGUACCGGGAGAAUAAGCCCCGGCUAACUCCGUG
Molecule: ribosomal RNA, 439 nt
Filed under: uncultured bacterium
Lineage: Bacteria
Description: bacterial SSU rRNA
Rfam family: Bacterial small subunit ribosomal RNA
Source: RNAcentral